This is a long non-coding RNA of Ctenopharyngodon idella (grass carp), 1243 nucleotides long. RefSeq lists it as uncharacterized. Lineage: Eukaryota; Metazoa; Chordata; Actinopteri; Cypriniformes; Xenocyprididae. The transcript is spliced from 3 exons. The record is from RefSeq and is a predicted model, not a curated record.
UUAAGACUGGAUCCAGAUGAAACUUUCCAUAUCGCCGUGAUCUCUUAUCUCAAUCAACGCUUUCAGUAUGCCCUCCUCUGGAUGGAAGAAACCUUCAGGAAACUCAAUAAGGGAGAGGAAGCCGUUGUUACUAAAGAGGAGGUUCUUUACCAGCUUGCUUCAUUUUCCCAUCAGAUUCAGCUGUCAUCUGGACAGGACCUCACUGAGGGAGAUCUGCUUCAGCCUGCACUUUACAAAAGCCUAAUAGAGAACAUUAAGACCUGGACUGCAAAAUACAUCCCUCACUUUGACUUACCUGUUCACUCCAUGGACGAAGCAUAUGAGGCUCUAUGCACGGGCAAGAAGGUUAUGAUGAUGCCGCAGAGAGAGAGAAAACUGGUGUGCAGGUACAGAACAGGAAGAAGAAACCCGCUGGUGCUAUUCAAAGAGGAAGUGGAGUGGGAUCAGCCUACAAUACUACGAUACCAUGACUUUCUUUCUGAAGGAGAGAUAGACACCAUCAAAACACUGGCCAGGCCAAAGGUGUGCAAAUUUAAUUUAAAAGGUACAUUAAAUGCCAUUUAUGUUUAAGUAGCGCUACAUCAUGCUAAUCAACUCUUUAUAUAAAAUAAUUAUAACAGGUUACAAUUACAUAUUUUAAACUGCUCUUUUAAAAUAUUAUUUCAGUGUAGACACGUUAACUCUUUCCUGGCAACUGUUUUUUUUUUUUUUUUUUUUUUUUUAAAAAACGCUGCUGGGGAAAAAGUUAAUAUUUGAGGAAGAAUUAUUCCCUGAAGCAUUCAGUGUGUGUGUUUGUAUAGAGAAUUAAAAAAAAAUUGUAAUUGAUAAUUUUCUGUAACAUUUUUUAAAUAUCAAAUAAUGUAUUAUUAGUAAUUAACAAUAUUCAUCUAAUGCAACACAAAACUCUGUUUAUAUUUAGCUUUCCAGAGCUAAAGUCAUAGAUCCAGUCUCUGGAAAAAAAGUUUCUGCUGCAUCCCGUGUGUCAAAAAGGUAUGAAAACAAAAUGAAAACUCAUUUACUCACGCUCCUGUCUUUCCAAAACUGUAUUAUUCUCCUUCCACUGUGGAACAUAAAAAAGAUAUUCAGAGAAAUAUCUCAAUGUUUUUUUAAUGAACGUCAUUGUUGUUUGGUUCCCAAUAUUCUUCAAAAUAUCUUCUUUUGUGUUCUGAAGAAAUGUUUACAGGUUUGGAACCACAUGUAAAUGCUAAUUUUUUGUUGUUGUUAUUUAUUUAUUUUAGAUGGA